This 236-nucleotide ribosomal RNA is filed under the name uncultured Staphylococcus sp. RNAcentral describes it as "partial 16S ribosomal RNA". It matches the Rfam family "Bacterial small subunit ribosomal RNA", at positions 104 to 334 of the family's 1533-position model. Lineage: Bacteria; Bacillati; Bacillota; Bacilli; Caryophanales; Staphylococcaceae. The record is from RNAcentral.
GGGUGAGUAACACGUGGAUAACCUACCUAUAAGACUGGGAUAACUUCGGGAAACCGGAGCUAAUACCGGAUAAUAUUUUGAACCGCAUGGUUCAAAAGUGAAAGACGGUAUUGCUGUCACUUAUAGAUGGAUCCGCGCUGCAUUAGCUAGUUGGUAAGGUAACGGCUUACCAAGGCAACGAUGCAUAGCCGACCUGAGAGGGUGAUCGGCCACACUGGAACUGAGACACGGUCAAG